Haplochromis burtoni (Burton's mouthbrooder) is the source of this 2000-nucleotide long non-coding RNA. RefSeq lists it as uncharacterized. Lineage: Eukaryota; Metazoa; Chordata; Actinopteri; Cichliformes; Cichlidae. The record is from RefSeq and is a predicted model, not a curated record. The transcript has 4 exons.
GAGGGAGCUCCUGGGGAGAGGAAAGCUCCUGCAAGAUGUGACAAUCUCCCCCACCAGUUGAAGAGCCAGGUACAGAUGUUUACUGAGUGGAUCUUCCAGCAGUUCAUCCAGAGACUUUGAGGUCACUGUCACAGACGCAGCUGGACCAUCAGCCACGACUACAGGAAGCUCCACACCUUCAUUAACUUUGACUGGAAGCACUGAGCAGCCUGAAAGAGCAGCAUCUGCAGGUGUGCUGCUGUAUGUAAUCAUCUCUCUGCUCAUCAUCAUCAUCCUCUCAUCACUGACUGUUCUAAUAAUCUGCAUCAAGAGGAAGAGCAGCAGAGGUUUGAGGACCAGAGGAAACUCAGAGGGCACAAACAUGGAGGUGACUUUCUUUCUCUUUGGUUCCUCUCACUGUUGACAGACUGCUACUGUAACAAAGAAAUAAAGCAGUCACAGUGUGAUGGUUCAGUUUGUAGACUGUUCCAGAAAUUACAGUCCAAGAAGGAGAAUUCAAACAGGUAGGUGACAAAAAUGGCCGCCCAGACGGAGACUCCAACAACAAACAGAGACACUGUUGUCUGAGAGGUUCAACGUGGAAAUAUUUACCAGCACAAAUGAUUUAACCAAGUCAGAGUCUCUUCUUUUUAUGUGAAGAAGACAGUUUGUCUCUGUUUCAGGACGUCCACUACGAGAACUGUACUCCAGGUUCUACACGUGAAGACUCGACCUACCAGAGCCUCGAUCCAGCCGGCAGGGACCAGGACCAGACCUACUCUACACUCACACACCACACAUGAGACUCUCUGGAUUCACACCUGGGUUUGUUUCAGUGCCUCAGGUUUAAGGUUUGAACACAAACCCUGAAAACUGUAAAUAUUGACUCACUUCGGAGUCAGCUUCAAGUGGCUGUUAGAGGAACUGCAGCUGCUGGAACUGCAGGAGGAACCAGCCCCACCAGCCCCCAUCAUCCUACACCAGUGCCCCGUGGACACUGUGAAGUCUUUCUGCUGCAGUGUGUCAUCCAUUUGUCUGAGAAGCUGUCUGCAGUCUUCUUUCUCUCCAACACCUCGACACCUCCAGGACCCUGAGACUGACACGAAAAAUAUCUUCUGACCCCUCCCACCCUGGACAGAAACAGUCGCUCCCCUCAGUAUCAUGAAACUGCCAAUAUUAUGUACAUGUUAUUAACAACAACCAAAAACAUUACCUCCCCUGAUCAGUCUGUUUUUUGUACACUAAGAAAAAUAAUUAAAUGUUAUAGAUUUCAUAUUUUACUCAACCCUAAACAGAGACAACUUUGGAUUCUUCUAUUUUAUUUGAGCGUUUUAAGUGAAUCCAUUGCAUUAAAUGUUCAUUUGGAAUCACUUGAUGGAUCUGCGUCAGACGUAACUGAAGUUAAUCAGCUGGUUAGCCACACAGAGCUAACAGCAAAGCAUAUAAAACCUUAGCAUACGCAGCACGCAGCAGCUACAAGGAUGGUGUUCUUAUUCUAUUAUUAUUACAGUGGUUGAAACAUAAUAAGUCUGCCUUCACUUUGUAAUCCACAUCAGUCCUGCUGCAAAUCCCACAUUUCCACAGCGUUCCUGUGACAUUUGGUGUUCUUUAGGUCAGCACAAUGCUGGUGUUUGAACUGAAUCAGAUUAUUUGUAUGGAACAGACUUUGGUGUCACACCAGUUUGUACUACAGGAUGGAGUAGGGAGCUGAUGUGGGGUCCAGUCUGUGAAAGAACAGCUGUUCCAGUUACCCUAACUUACAACAACAACACAAUCAGUGGAUGUGAUGAGCACGUCACCUACUCAACUGCAAACGCAGGAAUUUCUGUGGAUCAUUUUUGUUAACUGCUUAUUCAGCUGAGGGUCACAGGGGUGGAGUCUGUCCCAGCUGUCACAGGGAGAGAGGCGGGUCCACCUGCACAGGUCAGAAAGGACAGAAACCACACUCUCUCAGAUACACACCUAUAUGUUUUGGGCACAACCUGACAACCGUCUCAUUGGACCGUGGGAGAGCACAUGAA